AAAUGCGUAGAGAUCUGGGAGGAAAUACCGGUGGCGAAAGGCGGCCCCCCUGGACGAAGACUGACGCUCAGGGUGCGAAAGCGUGGGGAGCAAACAGGAUUAGAUACCCCUGGUAGUCCACGCCGUAAACGAUGUCGACUUGGAGGUUGUGCCCUUGAGGCGUGGCUUCCGGAGCUAACGCGUUAAGUCGACCCGCCUGGGGAGUACGGCCGCAAGGUUUAAAACUCAAAUGAAUUGACGGGGGCCCGCACAAGCGGUGGAGCAUGUGGUUUAAUUCGAUGCAACGCGAAGAACCUUACCUGGUCUUGACAUCCACGGAAGUUUUCAGAGAUGAGAAUGUGCCUUCGGGAACCGUGAGACAGGUGCUGCAUGGCUGUCGUCAGCUCGUGUUGUGAAAUGUUGGGUUAAGUCCCGCAACGAGCGCAACCCUUAUCCUUUGUUGCCAGCGGUCCGGCCGGGAACUCAAAGGAGACUGCCAGUGAUAAACUGGAGGAAGGUGGGGAUGACGUCAAGUCAUCAUGGCCCUUACGACCAGGGCUACACACGUGCUACAAUGGCGCAUACAAAGAGAAGCGACCUCGCGAGAGCAAGCGGACCUCAUAAAGUGCGUCGUAGUCCGGAUUGGAGUCUGCAACUCGACUCCAUGAAGUCGGAAUCGCUAGUAAUAAGUGGAUCAGAAUGCCACGGUGAAUACGUUCCCCCUUCCUUUUCUCACCGCCCGUCACACCAUGGGAGGGGGGCCAAUAAGUAUUGUAGGUAGCUUAACCUACGGGAG
Molecule: ribosomal RNA, 775 nt
Filed under: Escherichia coli
Lineage: Bacteria; Pseudomonadati; Pseudomonadota; Gammaproteobacteria; Enterobacterales; Enterobacteriaceae
Description: bacterial SSU rRNA
Rfam family: Bacterial small subunit ribosomal RNA
Source: RNAcentral